Molecule: transfer RNA, 79 nt
Filed under: Rachicladosporium sp. CCFEE 5018
Lineage: Eukaryota; Fungi; Ascomycota; Dothideomycetes; Cladosporiales; Cladosporiaceae
Rfam family: tRNA
About the family: Transfer RNA (tRNA) molecules are approximately 80 nucleotides in length. Their secondary structure includes four short double-helical elements and three loops (D, anti-codon, and T loops).
Source: Rfam by way of RNAcentral
GGUCGGGUGGCCUAAUGGUAAGGCGUUGCUUUCCGGUUCGGUCUGGCAAAGAUUGCGGGUUCGAGUCCCGUCUCGAUCG